GGGUUUGUAGCUCAGUGGUAGAACAUCUGCUUUGAAUGCAGAAGGUUUCAGGUUUAAUCCUUGUCUACAGGUGUG
This is a non-coding RNA of Podarcis lilfordi (Lilford's wall lizard), 75 nucleotides long. Lineage: Eukaryota; Metazoa; Chordata; Lepidosauria; Squamata; Lacertidae. The record is from the annotation of a GenBank genome assembly.